CAUCUCAACACAUCAACAAGAAGAUUUCUACAGUCUGUUCUAAGUCCAGACUGACCUCGAUACUGUCGAACUUCAGACUUUCACUUGGGUGUCUCCUGCCCCAGGAUCAGAUCUGGCUAAUGAUGAACAGAAGAAAGCAAGCUGAGGUCAAAAGACAGCGAGAUUUCAGACGACCGAUGGAGGUUUCGCAGGAUGAAGAUGAAGAUCGGUGGAUAUACAGAGAUAAAAAUGCCAUCAUCAGCAUUAUUAAUUUGAAAGACAGGAUGACAUAUGUUGAAAAAGUAGUUAAUCUGAUUUAUUCGAAUUUUCCUCCUCAUUUGAAUAUUUUAGAAAAAAAACAUAUAUUUUUUCCUGUCAAUCAAACUGUGUCUGCUAAAAUGUCAUAUUUUAUAAGGCACUUUAAAAUCUAUGAAAAGGUUGAUUUACACAAUCAGUUCGCAUUUACAGUGAUUGAACUUAUAAAAGGAGAUCCUAUAUUAAUCGGACCCUUUAAGCCAAAAAACAUUUAUCUGAAUGGAAAACAUUCUGAGACGCAUCAUACUGAACAUCAAUGCAUACAACCUCUAGAUCAGUAUAUUAAGAAGAAUAAGAGUAUGAUAAAAGCUAUACACAUGUUUACAAAAUUAAGCCCCUGUUUAUUUAUAAAAGGUCAUUGUGAUCCUUGUAUGAUCAAGUUAGCUAAUUUCUCUGAAGAAAUGAUUAAUAAAUAUA
Molecule: long non-coding RNA, 711 nt
Organism: Carassius carassius (crucian carp)
Lineage: Eukaryota; Metazoa; Chordata; Actinopteri; Cypriniformes; Cyprinidae
Exons: 3
Source: RefSeq, a predicted model, not a curated record